UUGUUUUGUUUCGGGGGUCGUGAAGGCUCUACUUGUGAGUAUUUGCGCUCGAAAGGGUUAUGAUGAGUAUUAAACAAUCAGACAUAGUACGAUAAGGUUGUAUGUCUAAAGGGAAACAGCCCAGAACAAGAGUUAAUAAGGUUCCAAAAUUAUUGUUAAGUGAAAAUAAGGUAGUAUUUUUCCAAUACGGCCAGGAAAUAGGCUUAGAAGCGGCCAUUUUUUGAAGACCUCGUAACAGAGCACUGGUUAAGUAAACUAUUUAAACAGUUUAUAUUGAAAAAAGCACCGAAAAUUUUACGGAUCUAAACAAUAUACCGAGACCUUGUCCAUAUGUAUAUAAUUGCGUAUGCUUAUGGGGUAGCGGAACAUUGGGUAAAUCUCAGAUUUUUUCUUUUUAAGACUUAAGAGUAGAUAACCCAAGUGAUAAUGCUGACAUGAGUAACGAAAAAGGGAAAUUAUCCCUCGCCUAAAGCUUAUGGUAUUUAGUUAAAGUAACGGCCUCUAAGUUUAUGAACCUAAAGGACUAAACGAUGAGAAAAUCUGAACCAUUACAGAGGAAAAAAAAAAAAAAUAUGUAAAAGAAAGAAAUAUUCCAAUGGGGUAUUUUAUUUUUAAGAUAAAUAACCUUAGGUACAAAUUAUUUUUUUUGUGCUAGUGUAUAGGGUUCUGGAAAAAUGUAUUUGGUGACCGGGAGGACGGCUAUUAACCGUAGGAAAUAAGAAAACAGUACCUCCCGUGUAGCUUUAUUUUUUUUUUAUAAAAAACAGAGACCGU
RNAcentral lists this ribosomal RNA (774 nucleotides) under Ophioparma ventosa. Its description in RNAcentral is "partial large subunit ribosomal RNA". The stretch from base 1 to 434 matches the Rfam family "Bacterial large subunit ribosomal RNA", at positions 910 to 1301 of the family's 2925-position model. Lineage: Eukaryota; Fungi; Ascomycota; Lecanoromycetes; Umbilicariales; Ophioparmaceae. The record is from RNAcentral.